GAUGAACGCUGGCGGCGUGCCUAAUACAUGCAAGUCGAGCGAACAGACGAUGAGCUUGCGCCUCUGACGUUAGCCGCGGACGUGUGAGUAACACGUGUAUAACCUACCUAUCAUUCUGGUAUAACCUCGGGAAACCGGAUCUAAUACCGGAGAAGAUAUUGAACCGCAUGGGUCGAUAGUGAAAUACGGUUUUUCUGGCUGUUAUAGAUGGAUCCGCGCCGGAUUAGCUAGUUGUUAAGGUAACGGCUUACCAAGGCAACGAUGCGUAACCGAGCUGCGAGGAUGAUCGGCCACACUGGAACUGAGACACGCUACAGACUCCUACGGGAGGCAGCAGUAGGGCAUCUUCCGGCAUGGGCGAAAGCCUGACGGCGCAACGCCGCGUGAGUGAUGAGGGUCUUCGGAUCGUAAAACUCUGUUAUUAGGGAAGAAAAAAUGUGUAAGUAACUAUGAACGUCUUGACGGUAACUAAUCAGAAAGGCACGGCUAAACACGUG
RNAcentral lists this ribosomal RNA (497 nucleotides) under uncultured bacterium. RNAcentral's name for it is "partial 16S ribosomal RNA". It matches the Rfam family "Bacterial small subunit ribosomal RNA", at positions 28 to 507 of the family's 1533-position model. The record is from RNAcentral.